This is a non-coding RNA of Helianthus annuus (common sunflower), 111 nucleotides long. The record is from Rfam. Lineage: Eukaryota; Viridiplantae; Streptophyta; Magnoliopsida; Asterales; Asteraceae.
GUUUUAGGCUUAGUUUGCUAUGGAGUACAUGAAAACUCCAUAGUUAAGUAUGCUCAGGUAGGAGUAGUACUAGGUUGGGUGACCUUGUGGAAAGUCUCCAUCGAGGUAACC